UUUGGUGUUUUUUAUGGCGUUGUCCCACCUCUUACCAUUCCGAACAGAGAAGUGAAAUACGUCAAUGCCGAUGGUACUGCAUUUGUGGGAGAGUAGGUAGAUGCCAGCC
RNAcentral lists this ribosomal RNA (109 nucleotides) under Parabacteroides distasonis. Lineage: Bacteria; Pseudomonadati; Bacteroidota; Bacteroidia; Bacteroidales; Tannerellaceae. The record is from RNAcentral. RNAcentral also lists the same sequence under 2 other names.